Paramuricea clavata is the source of this 404-nucleotide non-coding RNA. NCBI's taxonomy places the organism in Eukaryota, Metazoa, Cnidaria, Anthozoa, Malacalcyonacea, Plexauridae. The record is from the annotation of a GenBank genome assembly.
CUUGCUUUUUCGACUGCGCCGGGCUUCCCUUUCGUCAUUUCCACGAUUUUAAAGACGAAUUUCCCGAUUUUUAAGUAGAAUCUCGGCGGCGUUUUCAAGUAGAAUCAGCCGGCUUUUAACUAGAAUUACUCGAUUAAGUAUAAUCUGUCCGACUUAAAAAUGAUGCAGCCCCGGCCCCGCUCGCCUACACGCGUAAAAAUUGAGAAAAUCAACAACUUGUUGCAAGUUGAUAUCGACAGGCGUGAACAAGGUUGUGCGCCCACUAUGAACAGUAUUGUCAACAUGUUGUUACAGCAUUGUUCAACUGUAACAACUUGGAACAACAUGGUUGACAACUUGUUCAUGGUUGACCGCACAACAUUGUUCACGCCUGUCGAUAUCAACUUGCAACAACCUGUGCGUUU